This 492-nucleotide ribosomal RNA is filed under the name uncultured bacterium. Its description in RNAcentral is "partial 16S ribosomal RNA". It matches the Rfam family "Bacterial small subunit ribosomal RNA", at positions 29 to 507 of the family's 1533-position model. The record is from RNAcentral.
AGUGAACGCUGGCGGUAGGCCUAACACAUGCAAGUCGAACGGCAGCACAGUAAGAGCUUGCUCUUACGGGUGGCGCGUGGCGGACGGGUGAGGAAUGCAUCGGAAUCUACUUUUUCGUGGGGGAUAACGUAGGGAAACUUACGCUAAUACCGCAUACGACCUACGGGUGAAAGCAGGGGAUCUUCGGACCUUGCGCGAUUGAAUGGGCCGAUGUCGGAUUAGCUAGUUGGCGGGGUAAAGGCCCACCAAGGCGACGAUCCGUAGCUGGUCUGAGAGGAUGAUCAGCCACACUGGAACUGAGACACGGUCCAGACUCCUACGGGAGGCAGCAGUGGGGAAUAUUGGACAAAGGGCGCAAGCCUGAUCCAGCCAUACCGCGUGGGUGAAGAAGGCCUUCGGGUUGUAAAGCCCUUCUGUUGGGAAAGAAAAGCAGCAGGUUAAUACCCCGCUGUUCUGACGGUACCCAAAGAAUAAGCACCGGCUAACUUCGUG